UUGUUAUUUUCUCCUGCACUGGCUUUGAUACCAAGUUAAGAAAUGAAGCUUUUAGUUUCUUAGUGAAGGAAAGCUGGACAAUUCAUAGCUUGUGUUUUUCAUAUUUAAUCAUCAAGAGAGUUACAUAAUUUAUAGAGCUUAGCAGCUCUUCUACAGGAGUCCAAAACAUACAUACACACCACAAGAAAACAAGGAACAAAUUGCAGAGGAUCAA
Molecule: long non-coding RNA, 214 nt
Filed under: Carica papaya (papaya)
Lineage: Eukaryota; Viridiplantae; Streptophyta; Magnoliopsida; Brassicales; Caricaceae
Description: long non-coding RNA (CPAP_LNC009379)
Source: RNAcentral